AUCACGGCCACAGCCCCCUUUUUUUUUUUCCCUUUCCUUUCUUUCUCUUCCCCAAAAGCAGCUACUGCAGCCACCACCGCUGCCGCAGCUACCGCAGCCAACAUCGCAGCCAUGGCCGCAGCCACCACAGUCGCAGCCUCUUCUUCCUCCCCUGCUCUGUUUCCUCUCCUUCCAUCCAGCUGCAGCUGCCACUGCCGCCGCUGCCUCCCCUUCUCCUCUUCCUCUCUUCUUCCCUUUUCCUUUCUCUUCUUCUUCCUUUCCUUCUCUUCUUUCUCAGCUGCACUGCUGCAGUCGCAGCCUCAGCCACGGCCGUAGCCUCUUCUUCCUCCCCUGCUCAUCUUCCUCUCCUUCUUCUCUUCCAGCNNN
RNAcentral lists this long non-coding RNA (366 nucleotides) under Musa acuminata (dwarf banana). Its description in RNAcentral is "long non-coding RNA (MACU_LNC009488)". Lineage: Eukaryota; Viridiplantae; Streptophyta; Magnoliopsida; Zingiberales; Musaceae. The record is from RNAcentral.